UUGUUUUUAAACACAAAGUGUUUAAAAAGACUUAACACGACAUAAAUAAACAUCGUUAACUUAAAUCUACCAGAUAUAUGCAAAGAACGCCAUCAGGAGGAGCAGUGGGUCUCUGGAGUGAUUGGGUAUUCGUCGCAGAAUGGGAGCGACAAUUAUAGUGCGCAGAAAAUACUGGGUGUUCCAGAUGUGUACCCUAGAUACGAGAAGGCCAUUAGUGCAUGGGCCCCAGAUGUCAUCGACGAAAACCAGUUCUUGGAGUUCCAGUUCGCCGCUCCCGUCUACGUAACAAAAGUCGACGUCUACGAAGUCUACAAAGCUGGCGGUGUCAAGGCCAUUAAAUGCUUCGAUGUCUCAGAAGAGUGGAUAACGCUAUGGUCGACGGACCAAGUAUCCGUUUUUGAGUCUGCGAUGAUAUUUAGUCCAUCGUUUACGUCUACACGUCCUUGUUUCUCGAACCACAUUCGGCUGGAUAUCGACUGCACCGUGGCAAACACCUGGGUGCAGAUAGACGCUGUAAGGCUGCACGGCUCCAAAGAGACAGUGCAGUGGGUCUCUGAGGUGUUAAUGUAUUCUUCGGAGUAUUCAUAUAACG
This is a long non-coding RNA of Dreissena polymorpha, 592 nucleotides long. RefSeq lists it as uncharacterized. The record is from RefSeq and is a predicted model, not a curated record. The transcript is spliced from 6 exons. Lineage: Eukaryota; Metazoa; Mollusca; Bivalvia; Myida; Dreissenidae.